This 72-nucleotide transfer RNA is filed under the name Ictidomys tridecemlineatus (thirteen-lined ground squirrel). RNAcentral describes it as "Spermophilus tridecemlineatus (thirteen-lined ground squirrel) tRNA". It matches the Rfam family "tRNA". From Rfam's summary of the family: Transfer RNA (tRNA) molecules are approximately 80 nucleotides in length. Their secondary structure includes four short double-helical elements and three loops (D, anti-codon, and T loops). The record is from Rfam by way of RNAcentral. Lineage: Eukaryota; Metazoa; Chordata; Mammalia; Rodentia; Sciuridae.
AGGGUUGUGGCUCAGUGGUAAAGUACUUGCCUUGCAUGCGUGAGGCCCUGGGUUUGAUCCCCGGCACCACAU